AUUUAGGAGCAUCCAGGGGGACACAGAACAGGGUUUCCCACACCUUAUUCCUCAAAUUGGGGAAAGAUUUCCUAUUGUAGGGGGAAGGUUUGAGAACUGACAUUUUGGAAUUCUCUAAGAAAGCAAAACUGCUUCCUUCUGGGUGGAAGAUAAUAGGCUUUUCAUCUAGCAUUAAGAUAAUCAAGAGCUGAACACAGUAUCUGUCUUCUUUCCUAGGCAUACCUCAGGAUUAGGUCAGAGCAAAAAAAGUCAUGUGUUUGUUUAGGGUUGCAAAGCCACCUGAAAUGAUUCUGGGAACCACAAGGAUGACUUAGCAGUGGCCUGUAUGGACUGACCACCAGGGACCAGGUGGAAUCAAAGGCAUAUCACUAGGAGCUGUCAUAAGCAUUUUAACACUGAGACUUUUAACUCCCAAGCUUAUAACACAACAAAGCAUAUUUUCAUUGAACAUCUAGAAAGUUAAAGGGAAAAUCUCAGCAGAAACCAGAAUGGUGUUGCCUCCUCUCACAUCUUCAUCCUCUCUCCCACCUCCCAUGGAAGAAAGGAGACACAAGCACUCACGGACUCUGACCAACAGUGCUCUGCCACCUUCAACACCCUCAGUGGGUCCUGAGGUAUCUCAAAGAUUUCCCAAGACAUUGGAGGAGAAGCACACAAUUUCACUUUGAGAUGGGACACCCAACUUAUGUGUUAUCUUCCACUUGACUCAGAAAAUCAUUUGAAAUGAGCUAUGGCUCCAGUCUGGCAUGUCCAGAGGCAAGGAUGAGCUCAUGCUCAUCCCACAGCAUGCUCUGUUCUAACUAAUCAGACCCUUCCUGACCUACACACACACCUCAGCCCCACUAUAAUGAGAAGGAAAUAUGCUUGUGUUUUAUUCUGGUUAUGAUAUGACAUCCAAACUGUUAUGUUUCUAUUUCUAAAUUCAAUUAAAAAA
RNAcentral lists this long non-coding RNA (934 nucleotides) under Vulpes vulpes (red fox). RNAcentral's name for it is "lncRNA (ENSVVUG00000010618.1)". The record is from RNAcentral. Lineage: Eukaryota; Metazoa; Chordata; Mammalia; Carnivora; Canidae.